AUACGAAAGGUGCAAGCGUUGUUCGGAUUUACUGGGCGUAAAGAGAGUGUAGGUUGUUUAUUAAGUCGGAUGUGAAAUCCCGGGGCUCAACCUCGGAACUGCAUUCGAUACUGGUAGACUAGAGUUCGGGAGGGGUAAGCGGAAUUCCGUGUGUAGCAGUGAAAUGCGUAGAUAUACGGAGGAACACCUGAGGCGAAGGCGGCUUACUGGACCGAUUCUGACACUGAGACUCGAAAGCGUGGGUAGCAAACAGGAUUAGAUACCCCAGUAGUCC
RNAcentral lists this ribosomal RNA (274 nucleotides) under uncultured bacterium. RNAcentral describes it as "partial 16S ribosomal RNA". It matches the Rfam family "Bacterial small subunit ribosomal RNA", at positions 523 to 796 of the family's 1533-position model. The record is from RNAcentral.